GAUGAACGCUAGCGACAGGCUUAACACAUGCAAGUCGAGGGGCAGCGGGAUAGUUGGCUUGCCAACUAUUGCCGGCGACCGGCGCACGGGUGAGUAACGCGUAUGCAACUUACCUAUCAGAGGGGGAUAGCUCAUCGAAAGAUGAAUUAAUACCGCAUAAAACAGGGGUCCCGCAUGGGAAUAUUUGUUAAAGAUUCAUCGCUGAUAGAUAGGCAUGCGUUCCAUUAGGCAGUUGGCGGGGUAACGGCCCACCAAACCGACGAUGGAUAGGGGUUCUGAGAGGAAGGUCCCCCACAUUGGUACUGAGACACGGACCAA
Molecule: ribosomal RNA, 318 nt
Filed under: uncultured bacterium
Lineage: Bacteria
Description: bacterial SSU rRNA
Rfam family: Bacterial small subunit ribosomal RNA
Source: RNAcentral